CUCGUAGGUGGCCAACUAAGUCAGACGUGAAAUCCCUCGGCUUAACCGGGGAACUGCGUCUGAUACUGGAUGGCUUGAGUUCGGGAGAGGGAUGCGGAAUUCCAGGUGUAGCGGUGAAAUGCGUAGAUAUCUGGAGGAACACCGGUGGCGAAGGCGGCAUCCUGGACCGACACUGACGCUGAGGAGCGAAAGCCAGGGGAGCAAACG
Molecule: ribosomal RNA, 207 nt
Filed under: uncultured bacterium
Lineage: Bacteria
Description: partial 16S ribosomal RNA
Rfam family: Bacterial small subunit ribosomal RNA
Source: RNAcentral